Molecule: ribosomal RNA, 471 nt
Filed under: uncultured bacterium
Lineage: Bacteria
Description: bacterial SSU rRNA
Rfam family: Bacterial small subunit ribosomal RNA
Source: RNAcentral
AUUGAACGCUGGCGGAAUGCUUUACACAUGCAAGUCGAGCGGCAGCGCGGGGGCAACCCUGGCGGCGAGCGGCGAACGGGUGAGUAACAUAUCGGAACGUACCCCGUCGUGGGGGAUAACACAGCGAAAGCUGUGCUAAUACCGCAUACGACCUGAGGGUGAAAGCGGGGGAUCGCAAGACCUCGCGCGAUGGGAGCGGCCGAUAUCGGAUUAGCUUGUUGGUGAGGUAAAGGCUCACCAAGGCGACGAUCCGUAGCUGGUCUGAGAGGACGACCAGCCACACUGGAACUGAGACACGGUCCAGACUCCUACGGGAGGCAGCAGUGGGGAAUUUUGGACAAUGGGGGCAACCCUGAUCCAGCCAUUCCGCGUGAGUGAAGAAGGCCUCGGUUGUAAAGCUCUUUCAGCAGGAACGAAACGGUAGGCCACAGAAUAAGCACCGGCAAACUACCGUGCCAGCAGCCGCGGUAU